Molecule: ribosomal RNA, 607 nt
Filed under: Nonomuraea sp. YIM 77558
Lineage: Bacteria; Bacillati; Actinomycetota; Actinomycetes; Streptosporangiales; Streptosporangiaceae
Description: bacterial SSU rRNA
Rfam family: Bacterial small subunit ribosomal RNA
Source: RNAcentral
UCCACUCCGGGAUAAGCCUGGGAAACCGGGUCUAAUACCGGAUACGACCGCCUCGCGCAUGCGGGGUGGUGGAAAGCGUCUAGUGGUGGGGGAUGGGCUCGCGGCCUAUCAGCUUGUUGGUGGGGUAGUGGCCUACCAAGGCGACGACGGGUAGCCGGCCUGAGAGGGCGACCGGCCACACUGGGACUGAGACACGGCCCAGACUCCUACGGGAGGCAGCAGUGGGGAAUCUUGCGCAAUGGGCGGAAGCCUGACGCAGCGACGCCGCGUGGGGGAUGACGGCCUUCGGGUUGUAAACCUCUUUCAGCAGGGACGAAGUUGGACGUGUACCUGCAGAAGAAGCGCCGGCUAACUACGUGCCAGCAGCCGCGGUAAUACGUAGGGCGCGAGCGUUGUCCGGAAUUAUUGGGCGUAAAGAGCUCGUAGGUGGCUGGUCGCGUCUGCCGUGAAAGCCCAUGGCUUAACUGUGGGUCUGCGGUGGAUACGGGCCGGCUUGAGGUAGGUAGGGGCAAGCGGAAUUCCUGGUGUAGCGGUGAAAUGCGCAGAUAUCAGGAGGAACACCGGUGGCGAAGGCGGCUUGCUGGGCCUAUCCUGACGCUGAGGAGCG